UACGUAGGGGGCAAGCGUUAUCCGGAAUCACUGGGUGUAAAGGGAGCGUAGACGGCUGAGCAAGCCUGAAGUGAAAGGCGGGGGCCCAACCCCCGGACUGCUUUGGGAACUGUACGGCUGGAGUGCAGGAGAGGUAAGUGGAAUUCCUAGUGUAGCGGUGAAAUGCGUAGAUAUUAGGAGGAACACCAGUGGCGAAGGCGGCUUACUGGACUGUAACUGACGUUGAGGCUCGAAAGCGUGGGGAGCAAACA
Molecule: ribosomal RNA, 251 nt
Filed under: uncultured bacterium
Lineage: Bacteria
Description: partial 16S ribosomal RNA
Rfam family: Bacterial small subunit ribosomal RNA
Source: RNAcentral